AACGAACGCUGGCGGCAUGCCUAACACAUGCAAGUCGAACGAGACCUUCGGGUCUAGUGGCGCACGGGUGCGUAACGCGUGGGAACCUGCCCUUAGGUUCGGAAUAACUCCCCGAAAGGGGUGCUAAUACCGGAUAAUGUCUUCGGACCAAAGAUUUAUCGCCUUUGGAUGGGCCCGCGUUGGAUUAGCUAGUUGGUAGGGUAAAAGCCUACCAAGGCGACGAUCCAUAGCUGGUCUGAGAGGAUGAUCAGCCACACUGGGACUGAGACACGGCCCAGACUCCUACGGGAGGCAGCAGUGGGGAAUAUUGGACAAUGGGCGAAAGCCUGAUCCAGCAAUGCCGCGUGAGUGAUGAAGGCCUUAGGGUUGUAAAGCUCUUUUACCCGGGACGAUAAUGACAGUACCGGGAGAAUAAGCCCCGGCUAACUCCGUG
This 433-nucleotide ribosomal RNA is filed under the name uncultured bacterium. Its description in RNAcentral is "partial 16S ribosomal RNA". It matches the Rfam family "Bacterial small subunit ribosomal RNA", at positions 29 to 507 of the family's 1533-position model. The record is from RNAcentral.